Molecule: small nuclear RNA, 23 nt
Filed under: Arabidopsis thaliana (thale cress)
Lineage: Eukaryota; Viridiplantae; Streptophyta; Magnoliopsida; Brassicales; Brassicaceae
Description: snRNA_10597
Source: RNAcentral
GAAUUUUCUGUAAAUAAAACUAA